This 2089-nucleotide small RNA is filed under the name Pan troglodytes (chimpanzee). Its description in RNAcentral is "retained intron". Lineage: Eukaryota; Metazoa; Chordata; Mammalia; Primates; Hominidae. The record is from RNAcentral.
CGGGGCCUGGGCGCCCGCGGGAAACCCGGGCCCCUUGCAUCCGCUGGGUGUAGCCGUGGGGAUGGCAGGUUCGGGGAGGCUGGUCCUACGGCCCUGGAUUCGGGAGCUGAUUCUGGGGUCAGAGACACUCUCCAGUCCACGAGCCGGGCAGCUGCUCGAGGUGAGCCCCCAUUCAGGGCCCGGAGACCGAGGCGGAGGCCCGGGGUGGUGGGAUUGACGCCGCUCGCCGCCGUCAGGUACUACAGGAGGCCGAGGCCGCGGUCGCGGGCCCAUCCCACGCCCCUGAUACGUCCGACGUCGGGGCCACGCUGCUUGUGUCUGACGGGACCCACAGUGUCCGAUGCCUGGUGACGCGGGAGGCCCUGGACACCUCGGACUGGGAGGAGAAGGAGUUCGGCUUCCGCGGGACAGAGGGCCGGCUGCUGCUGCUGCAGGACUGCGGGGUUCAUGUCCAGGUCGCUGAGGGCGGCGCGCCCGCAGAGUUCUAUCUCCAGGUGGACCGCUUCAGCCUGCUGCCCACGGAGCAGCCCCGGCUACGGGUGCCUGGUUGGUAAGUGAUGCCUCCGCCCUCCAGCGGCUCUCCCCACCCCAGCCUGGCCGGCGCUGGCAGACGCCUAUGGGGUAGGAGGGCUUGGGCCCCCAUUAACUACCCUUCUCUUUUUCUUAGCAACCAAGACUUAGAUGUUCAGAAAAAGCUCUAUGACUGCCUUGAGUGAGUCUGGGGUUGGGCUCGGGGGCCACGUGUGGUUUGGUGAGGGGAUGGUGUAUCUAGGUAGACGGGCCUCAGCAUGGUUCCUGAGUCCUGGCCACUCUCUUCCUGUAGGGAGCACCUUUCAGAGUCCACCUCGUCCAAUGCAGGUACUGUAGGGCUUGACCAGUGAUCCUAACACCCUGUGCAGUGACCUCUCCAGCCUUAACCUUAUGCUUCCUCAAUAAGCUGUCUUCCCCCUCACCCUCCUGGUCCUCCCCUUUAAGCCUUGACUCAUCCCAUGGUCCCCUGUCCCCAGGCCUAUCACUGUCCCAGCUUCUGGAUGAAAUGCGGGAGGACCAGGAGCAUCAGGGGGCACUCGUGUGCCUGGCUGAAAGCUGCCUGACACUGGAGGGCCCUUGCACGGCACCCCCCGUCACCCACUGGGCUGCCUCACGAUGCAAGGCCACGGGAGAAGCUGUGUACACUGUCCCCAGCUCAAUGCUGUGCAUCUCUGAGAAUGACCAGCUAAUUCUGAGCUCUCUAGGCCCCUGUCAGAGGACACAGGGUAAGGGGGACUGGAGAGGUUGGGGGGAUACCUGGGGCCCAGGUCCACAGUGCUGAUAAGACUUCCUGAACCCCCCAGGCCCUGAGCUGCCCCCACCAGACCCGGCUCUGCAGGACCUAUCUCUGACCCUCAUAGCCUCUCCUCCUUCCUCACCCAGUUCCUCAGGAACCCCGGCCUUACCCGGCCACAUGUCAUCCGAGGAAAGUGGUACCAGCAUCAGCCUUCUGCCUGCCCUGUCCUUGGCUGCUCCAGACCCAGGGCAGAGGAGCAGCUCCCAGCCCUCACCAGCCAUCUGCUCAGCGCCUGCCACCCUGACCCCCAGGUCCCCACACGCCAGCCGUACCCCCAGCUCCCCACUCCAGAGCUGCACUCCCAGUCUCUCACCCCGUAGCCAUGUCCCCAGUCCACACCAGGCUCUUGUGACCAGGCCCCAGAAACCUAGCCUGGAGUUCAAGGAGUUUGUAGGGUUGCCCUGCAAGAAUCGGCCGCCUUUUCCCAGGACCGGAGCUACCAAGGGAGCCCAGGAGCCCUGCUCUGUCUGGGAACCCCCAAAGAGGCAUCGUGAUGGUUCUGCCUUCCAGUAUGAGUAUGAGCCACCCUGCACGUCCCUCUGUGCUCGGGUCCAAGCUGCCAGGUGAGUGCCUGGGUCUGCCCCCACUCUUGGUCACUAGUCCCAGGCUCCAUUGACCUGCAGCGGUGGUUUCUUUCCAGGCUUCCUCCCCAGCUCAUGGCCUGGGCCUUGCACUUUCUGAUGGAUGCACAGCCAGGGUCUGAGCCAAAUCCGAUGUGAGACGUCACACAGGACAGAUACCGCUCCACACUCUGCUUCCUUU